RNA transcript from Ixodes scapularis (black-legged tick), 2050 nucleotides. It is a transcript of the gene named pyrokinin-1 receptor, with no coding region annotated. NCBI's taxonomy places the organism in Eukaryota, Metazoa, Arthropoda, Arachnida, Ixodida, Ixodidae. The record is from RefSeq and is a predicted model, not a curated record. The transcript is spliced from 5 exons.
ACGGCGGCUUUAUAGCACGCGGACGAAAAUAACGUAACUACGAUUUCUUGUCUGGAGGCAGGUUCGAGCGUCUCCAGAGGCCCGCCGGCCCAAGCGGCUCACCACCAUGACCGGACGAAACGUCUUCUCGCCACUCGGUCCCCUGAACCUGACGGUGGACUACCACGGGCCAUGGCCCGACGGGCAGCAUCCAGUCUUCGAGGCGGGUCCCCAGCACGAGCCUUCGUUGUCCGACGGUGGUCCGUCGGACAACUUCCAGGCGGCCUUGAACGUCCUGAGCUACCUGCACGCCUUCUUCAUCCCGUUCCUGAUCGUGCUUGGACUCAUCGGGAACGGCCUGUCCUUCGUCACCUUCCUCUUCACCAGGCUCAAGGUCCGGGCGUCCAGCUUCUACCUGGGAACCCUGGCGCUGUCCGACUUCGGGUACCUGUUCAUCCUGACCUUCGUCUGGCUGGACAAGCAGGGCGUCAAGGUGCUGAACCGGCGGGGCAUGUGCCAGGGCAUCCUGUACCUGUCGUCGGCGUUCAGCUUCUGGUCCGUCUGGCUCACGGUGACGUUCACAGCAGAGCGCUGCUUCGCCGUCCAGUGCCCGCUGUGGCGUCUUCAGCUGGGCACCCGCGGACGCGCUAGGGUCACGGUAGGGGUCACUGUGCUCGCUUCGCUCGUCUUCAACGCCUACCUCCUGGUGCUCACCGACGUCAUCGUCGAAGAGGGCGGUACUCCCGAAUGCGAGGCCCGGCCAGAGUUUGAACAGAUUCUGUACUACACCAACAUCAUGGACACGGUGGUAACGCUGAUCGUGCCCUUCAUCCUCAUCGUCAUCAUGAACUUCAUGAUCGGCCGGGCCCUGUACCUCUUCACGUCUAGGCGUCGGCUCCAACGGCUGAACAGUUCCCAGCUGGACACCACAGGGAUGGACGUCGACGGCAGAGCCACGAUGAGCGGCGGAUCCCCGAUCCCCAGCCCGCGUCACCAGCUCGCAUCCAGCAUGAAUGGCGCCCCGCCGCACCCCAGGGACCGCGUGCUGAUGCACCCGAGCCAGAUCAGCGUCUCCAAGAUGCUCUUCCUCGUCUGUACCGUCUUCAUCAUCCUCAACCUGCCCAGCUACGUGGUGCGCAUCCACGUCUUCGCGCUGUCCAUAAGCGACCAGCCCGUGCCGGGCCACGUGUUCCUGCUCCAGCGCUACUUCAUGCUGCUCUACUACACCAACUUUGCGGUCAACUUCAUCCUUUACAACGUGGGCAGUCGUAUCUUCAGGCGCAUGAUGAAGCAGUACCUCCUGUCCAAGUGGCGCACCAUCAGCAGGCUCUGCAGGAGCGACGAGUCCCUGGACUCGUCAGACCUGGGCUCGCUGAAGAACCACCACGAUGGUCAUCCGCUCAAGAGGCAGCAGCUGGGCGGAAGGACAUGAUUGUGGGGCAACGGUUGCGGGCCCGCCGGACGCCGUCGCGUCGCGCUUUCGGAACGCGGUCGGUGCCGCGUUCGGCGAGCGUUCUGGAACAAGAUUGCGUCCGGAUGAGAAGAAGCUGCCUGUUCACCAUCGGAGAGUUCAGCAGUGAGACGAUGACGCAAUGCCACAGUGACCGGCGUCAGUUCGCUGACUUCUCGGCAAGUACGGAGCUCUCGGCCUGGCAGUUCAGUCCCAGCCACGCCGUCACGUCGUCUUCCGAAUCUCCCAAGAUUUCUGUGCCCAUUCCACCCUCGCAAUGAACCUGUGGUGUUCGCUACAUGUGCAUACCUUUAUUUUUGCAUGGGUUUACAAGAAUUUUAUAAGUAUGACGUGUAACGAAAUAACAGGCGGGUUCAAGAUACGUACCUCUCUAAACGCGUAUGGUUUACUCUUUGUAGAACUGGUACAUGAUGUAUAUAUUCCUCUCACUCGUGUCCAUAUCAAUCUUCAUCUGGUUCAAUGAUCAUGCGGCAACUAGGUUUUCUGACAUCUUUGACACUCUUACACCAGAUAUGACGAGCUAUAAGAGAUGUCGCACGUUAUGUAUGUUCCCGUUCGAGAUAAUUGACCCCGUCUUUAUAUACUCAUUGACAAGACUAA